This 492-nucleotide ribosomal RNA is filed under the name uncultured bacterium. RNAcentral's name for it is "partial 16S ribosomal RNA". It matches the Rfam family "Bacterial small subunit ribosomal RNA", at positions 29 to 507 of the family's 1533-position model. The record is from RNAcentral.
AGUGAACGCUGGCGGUAGGCCUAACACAUGCAAGUCGAACGGCAGCACAGUAAGAGCUUGCUCUUACGGGUGGCGAGUGGCGGACGGGUGAGGAAUACAUCGGAAUCUACUUUUUCGUGGGGGAUAACGUAGGGAAACUUACGCUAAUACCGCAUACGACCUACGGGUGAAAGCAGGGGAUCUUCGGACCUUGCGCGAUUGAAUGAGCCGAUGUCGGAUUAGCUAGUUGGCGGGGUAAAGGCCCACCAAGGCGACGAUCCGUAGCUGGUCUGAGAGGAUGAUCAGCCACACUGGAACUGAGACACGGUCCAGACUCCUACGGGAGGCAGCAGUGGGGAAUAUUGGACAAUGGGCGCAAGCCUGAUCCAGCCAUACCGCGUGGGUGAAGAGAGCCUUCGGGUUGUAAAGCCCUUUUGUUGGGAAAGAAAAGCAGCAGGUUAAUACCCCGCUGUUCUGACGGUACCCAAAGAAUAAGCACCGGCUAACUUCGUG